UGAAUACGAGACGCUACGGCGUUGAAGCAGUGUAUGUCAUACUUCCAAGAAAAGCUCGCAAGGUCAUAAACGAAUAAUGCCUGUACCAUAACCGACACAGGUGGGUAGGUAGAGUAUACUAAGGGGCGCGAGAUAACUCUCUCUAAGGAACUCGGCAAAAUGACUCCGUAACUUCGGGAGAAGGAGUGCCUUAUUUUAUAAGGUUGCAAUAACAAGAUCCAAGCAACUGUUUAUCAAAAACACAGGUCUCCGCUAAGUCGUAAGACGAUGUAUGGGGGCUGACGCCUGCCCAGUGCCAGAAGGUUAAAGAAGUUGGUUAGCAAUUGCAAAGCUGAUAACUGAAGCCCUGGUGAACGGCGGCCGUAACAAUAACGGUCCUAAGGUAGCGAAAUUCCUUGUCGGGUAAGUUCCGACCCGCACGAAAGGCGUAAUGAUUUGGAUACUGUCUCAGAGAGGGGCUCGGUGAAAUAGACUUGUCUGUGAAGAUGCGGACUACCUGCACCUGGACAGAAAGACCCUAUGAAGCUUUACUGUAACUUGAAAUUGAAACUGGACUUUACUUGCGCAGGAUAGGUGGGAGGCGUUGAGAAUAUUCUUGCGGGAAUAUUGGAGCCAUCGGUGAGAUACCACUCUUGUCAUGUUAGGUUUCUAACUUGGUAUCAUGAUCUGGUCCAAGAACAGUUUCAGGCGGGCAGUUUGACUGGGGCGGUCGCCUCCUAAACGGUAACGGAGGCGUACAAAGGUUUCCUCUGAACGGGUAGAAAUCGUAUCUAGAGUGUAAAGGCAUAAGGAAGCUUGACUGUGAGACCUACAAGUCGAGCAGGGACGAAAGUCGGUCUUAGUGAUCUGACGGUGCUGAGUGGAAAGGCCGUCACUCAACGGAUAAAAGUUACUCUAGGAUAACAGGCUGAUCUCCCCCAAGAGUUCACAUCGACGGGGAGGUUUGGCACCUCGAUGUCGGCUCAUCGCAUCCUGGGGCGGUAGUACGUCCCAAGGGUUGGGCUGUUCGCCCAUGAAAGCGGUACGCGAGCUGGGUUCAGAACGUCGUGAGACAGUUCGGUCCAUAUCCGGUGUAGGCGUUAGAAUAUUGAGAGGAGCCUUCUUUAGUACGAGAGGACCGAGAAGGACACACCUAUGGUGUACCAGUUAUCGUGCCAACGGUAAACGCUGGGUAGCUAUGUGUGGAGUGGAUAACCGCUGAAAGCAUCUAAGUGGGAAGCCCACCCCAAGAUGAGUAUUCUCAUC
This 1245-nucleotide ribosomal RNA is filed under the name metagenome. RNAcentral describes it as "bacterial LSU rRNA". It matches the Rfam family "Bacterial large subunit ribosomal RNA", at positions 1564 to 2818 of the family's 2925-position model. The record is from RNAcentral.